Molecule: ribosomal RNA, 588 nt
Filed under: uncultured bacterium
Lineage: Bacteria
Description: bacterial SSU rRNA
Rfam family: Bacterial small subunit ribosomal RNA
Source: RNAcentral
ACGGGUGAGUAACACGUAGGUAACCUGCCUAACAGACUGGGAUAACUACCGGAAACGGUAGCUAAGACCGGAUACGUCAAUAUGGGGGCAUCCCCAAAUUGAGAAAAGCGGAGUAAUCUGCUACUGAUAGAUGGACCUGCGGCGCAUUAGCCAGUUGGUGAGGUAGAGGCUCACCAAGGCGACGAUGCGUAGCCGACCUGAGAGGGUGAACGGCCACACUGGGACUGAGACACGGCCCAGACUCCUACGGGAGGCAGCAGUAGGGAAUCUUCGGCAAUGGACGAAAGUCUGACCGAGCAACGCCGCGUGAGUGAUGAAGGUUUUCGGAUCGUAAAACUCUGUUGCCAGGGAAGAAUGGCUAGGCGAGUAACUGCGCUUAGUAUGACGGUACCUGAGAAGAAAGCCCCGGCUAACUACGUGCCAGCAGCCGCGGUAAUACGUAGGGGGCAAGCGUUGUCCGGAAUUAUUGGGCGUAAAGCGCGCGCAGGCGGUUGUUUAAGUCUGGUGUAUAAACCAAGGGCUCAACCUUUGGACGCAUUGGAAACUGGGCAACUGGAGUGUAGGAGAGGAAAGUGGAAUUCCACGUGU